This 473-nucleotide ribosomal RNA is filed under the name Neocicindela sp. JP-2010. Its description in RNAcentral is "partial 16S ribosomal RNA". It matches the Rfam family "Bacterial large subunit ribosomal RNA", at positions 1927 to 2610 of the family's 2925-position model. Lineage: Eukaryota; Metazoa; Arthropoda; Insecta; Coleoptera; Carabidae. The record is from RNAcentral.
AUGGCCGCAGUAUUUUGACUGUGCAAAGGUAGCAUAAUUAUUAGUUUUUUAAUUGAAAGCUUGUAUGAAGGGUUGGACGAGAUAAAAUCUGUCUUUAUUUAAAUUAAAAUAGAAUUUAACUUUUAAGUCAAAAGGCUUAAAUGUUUAUAAAAGACGAGAAGACCCUAUAGAUCUUUAUUAAAUUUAAACUUUGAUAAUUUAAGAUUAUUUUAAUUUAAAGUUUUAAUUUAAUUUUAUUGGGGUAAUAUAAAGAUUAAAUAAAUUCUUUUUAUUAAUAACAUUAAUUUAUGUAUGUAUGAUCCAUUAUUAUUGAUUAUAAGAUUAAGUUACCUUAGGGAUAACAGCGUAAUUUUUUUGGAGAGCUCAUAUCGAUAAAAAAGUUUGCGACCUCGAUGUUGGAUUAAAAAUUAGCUUGGGUGCAGAAGCUCAAGAUUUUGGUCUGUUCGACCAUUAAAUUUUUACAUGAUCUGAGU